GGGGGGGGGGGGCGGGGGGCCUGGGACGGGCAGGUCGAGCGAACAGACGAGGAGCUUGCUCCUCGGACGUUAGCGGCGGGCGGGUGAGUACCACGUGGAUAACCUACCUAUAAGACUGGGAUCACUUCGGGAACCCGGAGCUAAUACCGUAUAACAUGUUGAACCGCAUGGUUUAACAGUGAAAGCCGUUCUUUCUGUCCCUUAUAACUGGAUCCGCGCCGCAUUAGCUAGUUGGUAAGGUAACGGCUCACCAAGGCAACGAUGCGUAGCCGACCUGAGAGGGUGAUCGGCCACACUGGAACUGAGACACGGUCCAGACUCCUACGGGAGGCAGCAGUAGGGAAUCUUUCGCAAAGGGCGAAAGCCUGACGGAGCAACGCCGCGUGAGUGAAGAAGGUCUUCGGAUCGUAAAACUCUGUUAUUAGGGAAGAACAAAUGUGUAAGUAACUAUGCACGUCUUGACGGUACCUAAUCAGAAAGCCACGGCUAACUACGUG
This 497-nucleotide ribosomal RNA is filed under the name uncultured bacterium. RNAcentral describes it as "partial 16S ribosomal RNA". It matches the Rfam family "Bacterial small subunit ribosomal RNA", at positions 38 to 507 of the family's 1533-position model. The record is from RNAcentral.